UACAGAGGGGGCAAGCGUUGUUCGGAAUUACUGGGCGUAAAGGGCGCGUAGGCGGCCUUCUAAGUCGAACGUGAAAUCCCUCGGCUUAACCGGGGAACUGCAUCUGAUACUGGAGGGCUUGAGUUCGGGAGAGGGAUGCGGAAUUCCAGGUGUAGCGGUGAAAUGCGUAGAUAUCUGGAGGAACACCGGUGGCGAAGGCGGCAUCCUGGACCGACACUGACGCUGAGGAGCGAAAGCCAGGGGAGCAAACGGG
RNAcentral lists this ribosomal RNA (253 nucleotides) under uncultured bacterium. RNAcentral describes it as "partial 16S ribosomal RNA". It matches the Rfam family "Bacterial small subunit ribosomal RNA", at positions 524 to 776 of the family's 1533-position model. The record is from RNAcentral.